RNAcentral lists this ribosomal RNA (542 nucleotides) under uncultured marine bacterium. Its description in RNAcentral is "partial 16S ribosomal RNA". The record is from RNAcentral.
UACGUCGUAGCCGCAGAAGCUGCAAGAAUUUAAUAAAUGCCCUCGGCUUGUAAAACUCUUUUUUCCGUGAAAAAAAUGACAGUCGCGUCUAAAAAUUGCCCGGACUGCUCCAAGCCGAUCCCCCGGUCUAUGCCGGGGGUUACCGUUGUUCGAAUAUCUGUGCGUUAAGCGCAAUCAUUGGCUUUCAGGGUCCCCACUGAAAUUUUUAAGUCUCAGGUGAAAUCCUGCCUCUCGACUGUGAAACUGCCUUUCAUACUGGGAAACUUGAAUUCCUGUGGUAUGGUUGAAAUGCGUAGAGUUUCGGAGAAAUGCCUAUGUCUAACGCGGAACACUGAUUGCAAACGGACACUGAUAUGCGAUACUGACGGAGCUGAACGAAUUCGAGACCCUCGUACUCCACUACAUACACUAGAAGUGCACGCCGUAAAGGAUGAAUCCAAUCUGUGACACUCAUAUCGGAUUAAUCAUUGGUUCUGCGGAGUAGAUACGCACCACACCUGGAGAGUACAAUUGACUGACUGAAACUCAAAGGAAUUGACGGA